This 492-nucleotide ribosomal RNA is filed under the name uncultured bacterium. RNAcentral's name for it is "partial 16S ribosomal RNA". It matches the Rfam family "Bacterial small subunit ribosomal RNA", at positions 29 to 507 of the family's 1533-position model. The record is from RNAcentral.
AGUGGACGCUGGCGGUAGGCCUAACACAUGCAAGUCGAACGGCAGCACAGUAAGAGCUUGCUCUUACGGGUGGCGAGUGGCGGACGGGUGAGGAAUACAUCGGAAUCUACUUUUUCGUGGGGGAUAACGUAGGGAAACUUACGCUAAUACCGCAUACGACCUACGGGUGAAAGCAGGGGAUCUUCGGACCCUGCGCGAUUGAAUGAGCCGAUGUCGGAUUAGCUAGUUGGCGGGGUAAAGGCCCACCAAGGCGACGAUCCGUAGCUGGUCUGAGAGGAUGAUCAGCCACACUGGAACUGAGACACGGUCCAGACUCCUACGGGAGGCAGCAGUGGGGAAUAUUGGACAAUGGGCGCAAGCCUGAUCCAGCCAUACCGCGUGGGUGAAGAAGGCCUUCGGGUUGUAAAGCCCUUUUGUUGGGAAAGAAAAGCAGCAGGUUAAUACCCCGCUGUUCUGACGGUACCCAAAGAAUAAGCACCGGCUAACUUCGUG